ACGAGCGGCAUUCGGUCGCCCACAACGGGACCUCAGGUCAGGCGGGGCUACCCGCUGAGUUU
Molecule: ribosomal RNA, 62 nt
Filed under: Hovea chorizemifolia
Lineage: Eukaryota; Viridiplantae; Streptophyta; Magnoliopsida; Fabales; Fabaceae
Also listed under: 1 other name
Description: partial 26S ribosomal RNA
Source: RNAcentral